ACCUUAUAAAGGACGACCAGUGCUGACCUAAUAUUUCUGGUUCCCUUCUACUGUGUGUACAACAGAACCUGGUGGCGCAAGAGAAGGUGCCUUCUAGCACGAAGCACUGGUAAGAGAUAACCUCGCCAGGAAAGGUACUUGCUUUUUCGUUCUUGUCACCUGCGACCUUUGGAGCUUCACUUUAUUUUCAGUUUUCCCACCUCCAAUCUUUAAAUGUCAUCAUGUUUCUUCUAGAGCAAAUUUCCCAGCCGCUAUGGAUGAGGACGAGGUCUUCGACCGAGCCUCGCUUGGAUCUACAUCAUCGGUAAACAAAAUAAUCCAUCCAGAUAUCCAGGUUAGUCAAACUUCACCGCCCUCUUUCCCGAUAGCUUUACUCUCUGCAGAUGUCG
RNAcentral lists this long non-coding RNA (389 nucleotides) under Triticum aestivum (bread wheat). RNAcentral's name for it is "long non-coding RNA (TAES_LNC008829)". The record is from RNAcentral. Lineage: Eukaryota; Viridiplantae; Streptophyta; Magnoliopsida; Poales; Poaceae.